This 253-nucleotide ribosomal RNA is filed under the name uncultured bacterium. Its description in RNAcentral is "partial 16S ribosomal RNA". It matches the Rfam family "Bacterial small subunit ribosomal RNA", at positions 524 to 776 of the family's 1533-position model. The record is from RNAcentral.
UACGGAGGGUGCGAGCGUUGUCCGGAAUGACUGGGCGUAAAGGGCGCGUAGGCGGCUUGCACCGUCAGAUGUGAAAUUCCUGGGCUUAACCUGGGGGCUGCAUUUGAUACGUGUGGGCUUGAGUGCGGAAGAGGGUCGUGGAAUUCCCAGUGUAGAGGUGAAAUUCGUAGAUAUUGGGAAGAACACCGGUGGCGAAGGCGGCGACCUGGUCCGUGACUGACGCUGAGGCGCGAAAGCGUGGGGAGCAAACAGG